GGGCUGUGCUUGUGCCAUGCCGGACCAGCCCAGUCCGUUUGACACCUCCAGCUGUCUCAGUAUCUUCCACCAGUCUAUGUUCCGGAUGCUACACUUCCCCGCCGUGGACAGGAGUGUUUGACGGUAUUCUUGAGGUGCUAUACUAUUGGAACCCCGAAACCAACAUUUCCCAGUAUGAAAAACCUAAUUCCACCUGUCGUUAUUCCACUCAGCAAUCGCUUCAAGUUGACCCCUACCUUUCUCAGCCACAAACUCCUUUGGCCCAGCACCAAACACUAGCGAUUCAGUGCAAUCAGUUGCUCCAAUGGAAGGGAAGAUGCCGUUUGGGGUCUUUAUCCGAUUGUUUCUCUGCUAUUUUUUGUGAACCACACCUUGCCGGUGCCAUCGAACCCAAGUCCAAUCGCCCAUGGUUCGAGGCUAAGAGAUAUGGACGAUGAGAAUGUACUGGACUAUUUGGAUGUGUGUGGAUUUUAUUGAUAAGGGUUCUGUUUUGGUGCAUUGCUUUGCUGGUGUUUCGAGAAGGGUUUACACCCUUGUUUGCAUGUGUUUGUUGCAGUGCAGCUAUCAUUACAAUUUACAGCAUAUCUGAUGAGAACAGAACAUUUAUCACAAGAAGAAGCACUAGGAUCCCCGAGGCAAAGCUGUGAGUUUGUUUGCCCCAAUGAUGGUUUUCUAGAUCAGGUGAUGCAAGCUCAAAUUUACAAGGAAAUGGGCUUCAAGGUUGAUCGUGCCAGCCCCAUAUAUAAGUCUUUUCGCCUGAAAGUAUUGGGUAAUUGAGGACCUUGGUGGUGCUAUUACGUCUGAUGGAAGCACAAGCAAACAUGUUGUCAUGGGGAAAGUGAGAACAACUUUUAAUUUUUGUACUGCUCUUUGUUCAGGGUAUGGGUUAAACAAUUACUAAGCACAUAUACCAAAUGGGCCAAAAAGCUAGGUUAUAAAGCGAGGGUCAUUGAGAAGUGUUCUUCCACAUAUGGUGGCGUCAAGUCAGCAACUAUUGAGUUUGAGUUUGCUUAUGGCUAUCUUUCAGGAGAGACAGGUGUUCACAACAUUAUAAGUUCGCAAAAUGGAUCUGCUUUGCAUUUGUUUGACUUGCCAGAGCUAUGACUUAUGAGGAGAGCAGGAACAGUGUGCAUUGAGCUCCAUUUGAUUGUGUCCCCUGCCGCCCGCAUCGCUUCAACCUGAAUGUAAUGUUACACCUGGCUCCCAAUCUUCUACGAAGAACCUCAUCUAGAACCCCUGCACCCUCACCCUCUUCCAAAUGUCCUAUAUGAUAAAUAGAGGAUGGAAAUGUUAAAUUAAUCAGUUGUACAAAUUAAUCUCUAAUGUAUGUAGAAUGUCGAAUUGCUUGGGCUCUACAAGUGUUUGGAAGGCCAAUAAUAAAGAAAUUCACAAGUAUCUAACCA
Prunus avium (sweet cherry) is the source of this 1403-nucleotide non-coding RNA. The record is from RefSeq and is a predicted model, not a curated record. Lineage: Eukaryota; Viridiplantae; Streptophyta; Magnoliopsida; Rosales; Rosaceae.